This is an RNA transcript of Oryza sativa Japonica Group (Japanese rice), 2829 nucleotides long. It is a transcript of the gene named inactive poly [ADP-ribose] polymerase RCD1, with no coding region annotated. Lineage: Eukaryota; Viridiplantae; Streptophyta; Magnoliopsida; Poales; Poaceae. The record is from RefSeq and is a predicted model, not a curated record.
CCUCGCGGCCCAAUAAUUCCACCGCCGCACGCCUCUCUCCCUUCCUCCCCUCCUUCCUUCCUCCCCGCCUCCCGCUCGUUGCCUUCGCCGCCGCCUCACGCCGCCGUGAUUUGAGUUAGGUUUUUUUUUUUUUUUGCUCUGACCAGACUUGCCGGCGAAGGAACCACCGGCGGGCACCGCCUCUCCUCGGCAAUCGUUGCCGGGGAUAAAGUGGGGUCGUUAAGGGAGCGGUAGGUUUGGGGGUUUGGGAUUAUAGAUCGAGGAAGAUGAAGCAAUCCAUAUCGUCUAUCAUCUUUGUAUCUACUCACGCUGCUGCUGCUAACUAUAGGAUCAUUUCGCUUCUGCCUCUUUCUGACCCGACUCUUUUUGGUUUUUGCCUCGUCGAUAAUGAACUUGAGUACACUCAGAAGCUUGCCUAUUAGCUUAGUGUAAAUAGUAGGCUUGUUGGAGUUUAGUUUGUUAGAAAUUAUUAGUCUCUGGUUCAUUUCAGCUAGCAACCAUGGCUGCGAUGAACGAAAAGGUAUUGGAUAAAUGUGGAAGAAACAUAAGUAGCCUCAAGAGAAAGCGGGACAACCCAGCUGCACGUUGCGCUGAUGCCGGCAACACCUCUAAAUUGCAUAAGCAUCCCGCCGAUAACUCUGUUGUUAGGUUUUAUGUUGAUGAAGGUCACAAGGCAAAGAUCAAGUGCCAUUUCAAAAUGCAGAUUAUACAGAGUUAUCAGAAUUUCAUGACUAGUGCUUUACCUAAGCGAAUUCUGCUUCGUCAAGGUGGUGAAUGGAAAGACUUUCCAAAGCAAAUUGUCAAGCUUGCCCACAGUGAUUUUAGGACUAAGAAGACAAUCACAGAAGGUGAACACCAGACCCAUCUUUUUUUGCUGGAUUUUGUGCACAUGACAUUCAUAGACUCAAAGACAGGCCUUCAGAGGCCAAUAGCUUGGAUUGAUGAGAAUGGGAAGCAGUACUUCCCAGAAUUUUUUAUUGAAGAUAAGACACUGUAUAGGAAAAAGGAAUUGGGAAAUGGUAAUAAUGUAUACAUAAUUGUCGAGCCCAAUGGGACACAAGAAAUGAACGACCACUUUGGAACAUCAGAAAGUUCAGCAGAAAGCUCGAAUUUUGAAUCUAGCACUGAUGAUGUUUCCAGCCCUAAGAGAGCCAAGGCUGAGAGGAGUGUCGCAGGAAACAAAACUGGUGGUGUCAAAGAAACUAUUGGAGAGAAUGAGCCACACGCCUUGCUGCCUAUUCCCUGCAGAUCUCUACCACAAGAUAAGCUGGGUGACCAUUCACGUGUUCAACUAGCUAUUUCUGCUGUUCAGAAAUUGUUGCUGCAGGGUCUGGGCACUGUUCUUGGUUCCAAGGACAUCGUUGGGAUCUACAGAACACCAGCAGUAGAUAACCAUAAAGAAUUUCGUUAUAAUCUUUUCAAAAAGCAGGCAGAGCAUACUAAAUGUAAGCGUGGCAAUGCAAAUGUCCGCUAUGCCUGGCUUGCUUGCUCAAAAGAUGCUGUGGAUGAAAUGAUGUUGAAUGGUGUCAUGCACUUUGAGAAGACUGUUAAGUGCCCAGACUACGGAAUUGGCACAAUCCUUGCUCCAGCAAAUUGCUCCAAUACCUGUGUGAAUUACUCUGAUGUUGAUGAAAAUGGCAUUGUCCAUAUGAUGUUGUGCCGUGUUGUAAUGGGGAACGUAGAAAUAGUUCACCAUGGAUCUAAGCAGCAUCGGCCUAGUAACGAGUAUUUCGAUAGUGGUGUAGAUGACAUUAAAAACCCUCAACAUUACAUUGUGUGGGAUAUGAAUGUGAAUAGUCACAUCUAUUCUGAAUUUGUAGUCACCAUCAAAUUGCCUUCUAGAGUCAAAGAUUCUCCUGCCACCGAAGAAGAUUGUCACAAUUUAUCAGAGGUUUCAUCACUGAUCUUGAGCUCUGGUUCGCCUGAUAGUGUAUCACAGACAAGUUCCACUGUUGGAGCAGCAGCAGCAUGCAGUAAUUCAGACAGUGACUGAAUCAACUAUUGACUUGUGCUUGCUUUUGAGAUUAGACUUCAAGCUGACUGUAGUAUUUUAUCUUUGAUAGAAACCUCCAAAUAUGAUAAGUUUCCUGUUAACCAUGCUAUCUAUAUUGGGGUGGGUUUAAGAAUCAAAUAACAAACAUCCUCUUCUCCACAAACAGGACAUGAACCUUCAGGCUUCUCCAGCAUUGGGAGGUCAUUAUGAAGCCCCCAUGUUAGGAGAUAAAGUGGAAAGGGCUCCAAGCACGCCUUGGAUGCCUUUCUCCAUGUUAUUUGCAGCGAUUUCAACCAAAGUUUCUGCUGAGAAUAUGGACAUGGUCAACAGUUGUUACGAAGAAUUCAAGAGCAAGAAAAUAAGCCGAGUCGACCUAGUGAAGAAGUUAAGGCAUAUAGUUGGUGACAGAAUGCUUAUAUCAACAAUAAUGCGACUCCAAGAUAAGUUGCCCCCUAUGUCGAGGCAUGAAGCACCCAAACACGUGGGCCAAGAUGAUGGCUAAACCAUGAAGUCGUCGGUGCGGAUGGUGAGAGAAGCAACUGGCCGACUUGACUAGUGGAGAGAAGCUUAUCUCACAUAAGUUGUCUGCGUCUGUAUAUGAUGCGGGUUUGUCUUUUCGGUCCUAGGAUUCAUGUUGUCAAGAUUUCUGUCAUCGGUUUCCGAUGCGAAAUGAUGAUUUCAGCUUUACUCGUGGACCUGAGGUUACACAUAAAAUUGAUAAAAGUUCCUUGUUUACCCUCCUGUUUCUUUUUCUUCUCUUUGCAUAAAAACAUGUAAUGUUAUAUACAUAUUGAUUAAUGUUAUUGUUUCGCCAUAGUCGUGGUGUUGUGCUUUAA